Molecule: non-coding RNA, 849 nt
Organism: Nicotiana tabacum (common tobacco)
Lineage: Eukaryota; Viridiplantae; Streptophyta; Magnoliopsida; Solanales; Solanaceae
Source: RefSeq, a predicted model, not a curated record
CUCAAAACUUAAAUUGGUCAAGUGACCUCUUAUUUUCUUUUUAAUUUCCUUUGGGUUGGAAAAUAGCUAAAUGAGUAGGUUAACGUGUUUGGCCUUUUAACAUUUUCAAAAUUUGUGGGUCAGCUAUUAGGUUUGGAAAAGUAGCUUUCUUUCUAAUUUUCAGCCAUUUUCUCUUUCAUCUCUCUCUCACUCAACCCCCUCGACCACGGUAGUUUCUGGUGGGAAGGUACAAGAAUCAAGCUUCGAUUUUGGGUGGAAUCGCCUCUAUAGACCCAACAAAGGGAUUCGUUCAUGUCCAUGUUCAUGAUCGAUUGUGUUGUGAAUGGAGAAGUUUUAUAUGGCGUGGGUUGUUAUAUUUGCUUUUUGAACUCCUCUGUGCUCUGUAUUUUAGAAUUUCGUCGUAAUUGACGACCUAUGGUCGAUUCUCUUCUGUUCAUAGAUGUUUGCUAGAAUUGAGGCUUAUUUUUCUUAUUCUGGUCAUAAGUUUCAAAUUAUUAAAUAUUACAUUGCAUAUUUGCAUGUUGGUAACGUGAGGAAGGAAUCAAUUGCUAAGAAGCAUACUCCUUCAGCAAUGAUAGCAAUUGCACAACCUUCAAAGUGAAAUUAGUGGAACAUAUGCAGUGACGGUCAUUGACUUCCUCCUAACUGAUACGCUGAUGGUCAGCUUAAUGACAUACGAAUGGAGUUGGUCAGGGAAAUAUUUACGGUGGAUAUCUUCAGGGGAAGGGUGGACUCUUCUUAGUUUUAUUAGUGUAAUUUAUAUUUGAGUUAUUCAUUUGACAAACUCAUUUUGGGUGAACUUGUAGUAAUUUGUGAUACUUGCAUCUGCCACUAUGUAAUGAAACUAUC